Small nuclear RNA from Suricata suricatta (meerkat), 196 nucleotides. Its record names the gene U2. It matches the Rfam family "U2 spliceosomal RNA". From Rfam's summary of the family: U2 is a small nuclear RNA (snRNA) component of the spliceosome (involved in pre-mRNA splicing). Complementary binding between U2 snRNA (in an area lying towards the 5' end but 3' to hairpin I) and the branchpoint sequence (BPS) of the intron results the bulging out of an unpaired adenosine, on the BPS, which initiates a nucleophilic attack at the intronic 5' splice site, thus starting the first of two transesterification reactions that mediate splicing. The record is from Ensembl. NCBI's taxonomy places the organism in Eukaryota, Metazoa, Chordata, Mammalia, Carnivora, Herpestidae.
AUCGCUUCUCGGCCUUUUGGCUAAGAUCAAGUGUAAACUAAAUUAAUUAAUUUAAAUGGAAUUAAUUAAUCCUAAAUGGAAUACAUUUUCAUUGUUUAAGAGGUAUUUUAUGGGGUGCCUGGGUGGCUCAGUUGGUUAAGUAUCGGGCUUCGGCUCAGGUCAUGAUCUCAUGGUUCGUGGGUUUAGGCCCUGCUUU